GGCCUGGCGGGCGGACCACGGGCCUCCUGCUCGGCCGCCCCCUCUCCCAGGUCACCUUCUGGAGCCCAGCCUUCAUUCACGCCUCUUUCUCUGCAAUGGUGGGCAGACACGCAUGCACAUCUGCUGAGGCCAGGACUCCUCGCAGUCACCGUCCCCACUGGGACCGGCUCCGGAGCCCUUUGGCCUCUCGUCGCCUCACAGCGGUGAAGAGGAGCCUUCCGUGGGGCGGCGCCGGCCUGCGCUGGUUCUCGGCUCUCACACCCCCGGCCGCAGCAAGUCGCUGAGCGCUUCGGUUGGGCUGGCCGCCCCAUCCAGCUACUCCCGCACCAGCAGCCCAGCUGUUCCUCUCAGCUCAGCCAAGCUCCGAAGAUACAUAAUCAGAAAAUGUUACAGAAAGUACAGUCGCCAACAUUCUAUUGCCUUCUCAGCUUACAGCUUUGAAGUAAACUGUCACAUUUAAGAUAUCACGUUACAAGAAACUCAGGGUGAGCUCUAGCCAACAGCUAAGGAGAACUUAGGCCUUCAGUCCUGCGGUCCACAGAGAGCUGCAACAAUCACUGCGUGAGCUUAGCAGGGGACACUUGCCUGGUGGAGCCUUUGGACGAGUCUGCAGACCCUGGGCUAAGACUCAGAUUGCAGCCUUGUGAGGUUGCAAAGCACAGGACCCAGGCGAGCAGUCACCAAUUCAUCGCAAGAAACUCUGAGUGGUAAACAAGCCACCGCUUUGCUCGUAUGAAAUGCGAAUAUGAAGCCUGUUACCCUGUGAAAAUAGACAUCAGCUGUAUAUUAGGACACUAAAAGAGAAGCUUGGGCAGAGAUCAUAUACCUGGAUUAGUGGUUCUGAGUGUGAUCCAAAAACAUCAUCUAAGAACUUGAAAUAAAUAGAAAUACUCAAGCCUUAUUCCAACAUGCUGAAUGAGAAACUCAGGGACUGCUACCUGGCAAUCCAAGUCAUCGUGAUGCACGUGCUGAAGGGUGAGAAAUCGUAUGACAUAGAACCGCAGAUGCCCACUGGUAGUCUCACAGUAAUCAGGCAUAAGAAUGAGGCGACCCUAGGUCAUCUGUCUACCACAAGACUCACCGCUUGACCAUGGUCCUGCGUGAAAAGCCUGAAGAGCAGCCUAAAAUAAGCAACGGCCCAAAUCAUCCCAAACCAAAUGAAAAACCAGCUGACAAUGUUCUGACGUUCUUUUAAAUGACUAAGACUGGAGUUAUUUCUUGUGCAGUAAAGUUAACAGAUAAACGAAUAAUUUGGAAGGAUUGAUCACAUUUAAAUAUUUGGAAUAUAAAAAAGCUAUUGUUUAUCAUGUUCUUUGCACUUCCAUCAUUUUAACUAAAAGGAAAACAUGUUAUUUAAACAUAAAAUAUGGCUAUAUAUUCAACUCUUGUAAUGUUUUCUAAAGUUUUUCUUAUUUAAAAACACCAAGUUGUAUUUUAAAAUGGAAAGCAUAUCUCCAGUUCAGAAAUCAUCAAAGUGGUUUAAAUACAGUUACUUGAGCUUUAGAUCAAAUGCACCCUUCUGAAUCUCUCCCUCAUAAGUGUAUGUAGAACCUAAACAUUGUUGUGGACAUUUGUCUUUUGGAGGAAAUAGUUCUUGUUUCAUGUCAGGAUUUCCUUAGGGAAAUGGACACAUUGAUGUGUCCAUCACCCAAAUAGUUUUUCAUUGUACCAGUUAGGUAGAUUUUCACCUGUCUCCUACUACCCGCUUCCUCCCUGCUUGAUUUCUGCUGAGUUUUACUUCCCUGUGUGCACAUAUGUGAUAAACAGUUUGUUCCAAUUUUAUAGUGUGUACAUGUGA
Microcebus murinus (gray mouse lemur) is the source of this 1798-nucleotide non-coding RNA. Lineage: Eukaryota; Metazoa; Chordata; Mammalia; Primates; Cheirogaleidae. The record is from RefSeq and is a predicted model, not a curated record.